Small nucleolar RNA from Malurus cyaneus samueli, 67 nucleotides. Lineage: Eukaryota; Metazoa; Chordata; Aves; Passeriformes; Maluridae. The record is from Ensembl.
AGCCUAUGAUGGUUUCAAUAUAAGAGUAGUGGACAGAAGUGAUUUCUGAAAACUCCAUGCUGAGGCU